UACGUAGGCAGCGAGCGUUGCUCGGAAUUACUGGGCGUAAAGGGCGCGUAGGCGGGAUGGCAGGUCGGUCGUGAAAUCCCUCGGCUCAACUGAGGAUCGUCGAUCGAUACUGCCGUUCUUGAGGAUUGCAGAGGAGACUGGAAUUCCCGGUGUAGCGGUGAAAUGUGUAGAGAUCGGGAGGAACACCGGUGGCGAAGGCGGGUCUCUGGGCAAUUCCUGACGCUGAGGCGCGAAAGCGUGGGGAGCAAACGGG
This 253-nucleotide ribosomal RNA is filed under the name uncultured bacterium. RNAcentral describes it as "partial 16S ribosomal RNA". It matches the Rfam family "Bacterial small subunit ribosomal RNA", at positions 524 to 776 of the family's 1533-position model. The record is from RNAcentral.